Long non-coding RNA from Bubalus bubalis (water buffalo), 1586 nucleotides. RefSeq lists it as uncharacterized. Lineage: Eukaryota; Metazoa; Chordata; Mammalia; Artiodactyla; Bovidae. The transcript is spliced from 3 exons. The record is from RefSeq and is a predicted model, not a curated record.
CGGAGAAGCCUCGGGAGAGUUAUAACUCCGGUUCCAAACAUUCCAAAUUCCUGCUUCUUCCGGCCUGGCCGGAAGCCGGGCUGGGGAGGGUGCGCAGGACCAGGGUGGCGGGGGGAUGGUUGCAGGCCGUUUUGGGGUGAAUCUGAGCCCCUUUGCCACCUCCCUUGCGCGCGGCUCCAGGUUCCCAGUGCCGAGUCUAGGGCGGCGGGUACGGGGGCCACGCCCUACUGCGCAGAGGCUGGACACACCCCAAGGCUGCACGGCACCCCAGAAGGCCCCUCCCAAGUCACGCGGGUCUCAGAUGCCCCGCAAACGCACCGAUGGGGGUGCAUAACGUGAACCCGAGAUGCACCCCAGCACCGGGUGUCCGUAUGGGGCACGGCGCCCAGUGAGUCAGGCAGAGUGGGUGUCGCCGCCGGAGUGAGUCACCGAGAGGGUGUGCGCCCCUCGUGGGCGGUGCCAGGAGCCUGGAGAGCGGGCUGUGCCCGCCCCAGGAAGACCACGCCCCAGUUGGGGACUAGGCAGAUUCCCCCCACUUCCUUCCGCGAAGCUUCCUUCUGCGAUCCAGAGAGGCUGUUGAGGGCCGGGGAGGGGCGCGUGAUGCGCCCCAGUCCGCGGCCGAGGGGCUUCCCGGGAAGGGCGGGGGCGCCGGGAACGCUGGCGGCCGGGUCCGGAAGGGCCGCGCGGCUGCCGCGCCCCCGCCCCGCGGCCUCAGUUUCCGAUGACGCGUCUGCAGAAACCCCGACGCGGCCCCCAGGCUCCGCUGCCCGGUUUCACUUCCCCUCCCCCUGCCCGGCGUGAGGCGCGGGGCUCAGACUGCCUCGGAUUCCGACGGGGGAGGGCACGGGGGCGCUUCCGGCCGUGGGGCUGGGUCGACUAAGGGGUUACGACGGGGCGGCCCGCCCCCGCCCAGGCCCCUCCUCUCCACGCCUGCGCCGGCACCGGGGGUGGGGCCGCGCGGUACCCGGCCGCCCCGAGAUCGACCCCCUCCCCCGCGAGGGGCGGGAUCAGGUUCAGGCCACGGUGGGGGCCGAGCGGGCCGCGACAACCCCCACUCCGCAGCCUGGGCGCGCGGUCCGGGGGCCCGGAGGCGGCGCUAGCUCGGGAAGGAGGGGGUCGGGCGGCAGGAAGUGCGCUCUCCCACCGCGUCCUGAGCACAGUGACUCCCUCCCGUCCGACGCGCGGGGGAGAAUUGGGAUGGCGGGAGAGAGAGGGGUACCCUGGGGAGGAGGCGCCUCGCGGGCACGUUGCGCUGGAGCGAGCCCUCGCUCAGGGAUGUUCAGAGGCCGAGGCCCGGCUGGAUAGGGCUGGCAUCGUCAGUGGCCGCUUGAGCUCCUGGAACAGAAACAGGCUGGCAGGUACCUUCCGGGCACCUCCUGUAGGCCACACACUUCGCCACGUACCGAGCUGUGCUGGUGAACAGAACUGAAGAAGUGCCAGCCUUUGGGAGAUUCCUGUGUGAGAUACAUGGCGUGCUGGCCUGUAACAUGUGCAGGGGACGAGAGAGUUGGGGGCAGGGGGCUUUGGAGCAGGUGAGCUAGGAAGGUCUUGUGAGCAGGUGAAGAAAAGAAAGUGUUAGUUGCUCA